ACGGGUGAGUAAAGCGUAGGAAUCUACCUAGUGGAUUGGGAUAGCUUAGGGAAACUUAGGGUAAUACCAAAUAAGCCUGAGAGGGGAAAGCAGGGGACUGUAAGAGGCCUUGCGCGAUUAGAUGAGCCUACGUCGGAUUAGCUAGUUGGUGGGGUAAAGGCCUACCAAGGCGACGAUCCGUAGCUGGUCUGAGAGGACGACCAGCCACACUGGGACUGAGACACGGCCCAGACUCCUACGGGAGGCAGCAGUGGGGAAUAUUGGACAAUGGGCGGAAGCCUGAUCCAGCAAUGCCGCGUGUGUGAAGAAGGCCUGCGGGUUGUAAAGCACUUUCGGUGGGGAGAAAGAGGUUUGUGUUAAUAACACAAACGGAUGAUGUUACCCACAGAAGAAGCACCGGCUAACUCUGUGCCAGCAGCCGCGGUAAUACAGAGGGUGCGAGCGUUAAUCGGAAUUACUGGGCGUAAAGGGUGCGUAGGUGGUUGAAUAAGUUAGGUGUGAAAGUCCCGGGCUUAACCUGGGGAUUGCGCCUGAUACUGUUUGGCUAGAGUACUGUAGAGGGAAGUGGAAUUUCCGGUGUAGCG
Molecule: ribosomal RNA, 584 nt
Filed under: uncultured bacterium
Lineage: Bacteria
Description: bacterial SSU rRNA
Rfam family: Bacterial small subunit ribosomal RNA
Source: RNAcentral